CCAGCCUGCAUGAUGUAAUCUCCAAA
Molecule: non-coding RNA, 26 nt
Filed under: Homo sapiens (human)
Lineage: Eukaryota; Metazoa; Chordata; Mammalia; Primates; Hominidae
Source: RNAcentral